Molecule: long non-coding RNA, 725 nt
Organism: Lampris incognitus (smalleye Pacific opah)
Lineage: Eukaryota; Metazoa; Chordata; Actinopteri; Lampriformes; Lampridae
Exons: 2
Source: RefSeq, a predicted model, not a curated record
UGUCCGUUGACUGUACAGGUGGCGGAGGGCGCUCGCAGAUGAGACGAUGGAAGCGACAGGAGGCGGAGAACCUUAUUCAGGCGACCCGUCUCUGAUGUACUAAUUGAGCCAGUGAGCCAGAGGGGUCCCCCGGGUUCGCGUCCCGGCCCGCAGCACUUCCUGUGGUUGCGUUGUCCCUCCGAAUUCGCGACAAUAGUUUAAAUAAAUGGGGGUGAGAUACAAUUUUACAAAUAUAACUUACAACAUGUCAAUAAAUUAGUGGCAAGUGUGGGAGGCGGGGGCGAUGAAAUCCAAGACCGUGAAGAUAACAGAAAUGGGGGAAACAUUUUUAUACCGCGUCUUCACCCCUUUUUUGUUCGCUGCCGGGACCCUUAGCCGGAAGACUGCACGAUCACUUCCGGGGGAAGUGAAACGCGGGGCUCGUCACCGCGUGUGGCGCGUCUUGAGUCGAACCGCCGAGACGCCGUGGGUUAUUUAGGCGACGGGCCGUUAGAGAGGCUGAUGUCUUGCUGAAGGGCAGCGGCUUGGAUGGGUCUCCACUUUUGAAACCGCGCCGUUUGGGACAGGCGGAGACGAGGGAGGGUGGCGGCCAGCAGGCUCUUCCUCCACCCCGAAGUGGCGCCCGCCUGCCGUCGCACACGUGCUCUGCUAUACGGUGUGUACGCGUGCGUGCGUGCGCACGAACCACGUUUCCUUAAAUUGAAAUAAACUUUGAAUUAAACUCG